UGCCCUGAGAGUCAGGGGCAAGGGGUGGAGAGAGCAGUCACCUCUCUAGCUGAAGAUUACCAAGCCCACUUCUCCAGCCCAAGGCUGCAGAGGACAGGCACAGUUAGGCAAGUCUCCCCAAAUCAUGAUCAUUCAUUUCCUUUUUCUGCAAAAAAAAAAAAAAAAAAAAAAAAAAAAAAGCGGAUGUGGCCGUGCCAGGGAGCAGCAGGCCAGGUCAGUGGGAGAUGAUGCCGGUUUCCAGGCAACUACAUGGAAUUUGGUGAGAAAUGAAGAAACUGAGCCACCAAGAUCUGUUGGUUCGACGGAAAACUACCGUUAUCCAAAUGCUGCGCCUGAACAGAGGCUGGAGAGGGCGGAACGAGGCUGUGGGAAUGGAAGCCUCUGUGGGUGCUCCUCUCUCUUGAAAGAGCAGCCAGUUGCGCACAUGGGAAAGAGAUGUGUGUCUCUUCCCUGAUCAUCCUUUGCAGAAGAGGUGGCUUAGCAAGAUAGGGUGGACUCUGUGGCUCACUGUGGCUGUACAGUGGGUGCCUGU
RNAcentral lists this long non-coding RNA (532 nucleotides) under Mus caroli (Ryukyu mouse). Its description in RNAcentral is "lncRNA (MGP_CAROLIEiJ_G0002596.1)". Lineage: Eukaryota; Metazoa; Chordata; Mammalia; Rodentia; Muridae. The record is from RNAcentral.